CAAGGCAGAACAGCUGAUGCCCAGAUGGCCCCCCACACAUACCAUCCAUUAAGCCUACUCAUUAGGGCAGAAUAAUUAAACAUACGCACUGGUCAGUGAGAUACCGUUAACCUGAAACAACAGAUAAAGGCAGGGCCAGCCGGUCCCCCACUGGGUGCACACGUGCUGGCCCCUAAAUAUAGUACGGGUCAGGGAAUCUAACAACAAACUCUGUCUGGCAGAACAUUUGGCCAAGGGCUUUGAGACAAAAGCAUUGGAGAUUCAUGUCCAUCAGUGUCAGCGCCCGGCAGAGAUAAUUAAGUUAAUUAGAGACCUGACCAUUAACGGUAUACCACCACUGACCAGUAGCGAAGAGAGGGCCAGAGAACAAAGGACCAAGACUGACCAACCCUGGGUAUAUAUAACGGUACAGGCAAUAGGCCAGGGAAGAGCCGAGCCGAAUCUGCAGCCGAGUGUGCAGUACUGAAUAAAGUUGUGGACCCACAGACAGACUUGUGUUGUUCAUCACCCCUCUUGGAGACACAGCACUAAGGCAGAUAGACAUCGCAAAGAAACCAACAUCUUCUAAGUGCGAUACUGGUGGAGACAGAUCUCUGGUGCCUCUUCAAGCCAAGCAGCCAAGUUCCAUACAAAGGACCAGAUUCCGCGGAGCCAGUUCACCCUAAAGGACCAGGAGACAACCCAUCAGUUCCAGACAGGACCAGGACCAUGCACACCGGGACCAACUCGCCACCUCCCGACCAGACAGGACCCAUCAUCAUUUCCGACGUCAACUCACUUCACAGCAGGACAAAACCGAAGUUUCGUGAGAGACACUGUGCAAGAACUGUGUGUAACGAACUGUUCUUCGUUUCCUAACAUUGUGACACUCCUUUGGGUAAGCACAUUUUUAUAUUACCACUGCCUACCCUAUUUGCAUUUUUACUUGUUUAGCAGCACAUUUGUACGUUGCAUAACUAUGUCGAUAUUCAAACUUAAUCCACUAAACGCGGAUGAAAGGCUUCCCCUCUUGACCCCAGAAAAGAUUAACUCACCCCCAACGUCUAAAUCCACCCCUAAACAAGU
Haliotis rubra (blacklip abalone) is the source of this 1065-nucleotide long non-coding RNA. RefSeq lists it as uncharacterized. The transcript is spliced from 2 exons. The record is from RefSeq and is a predicted model, not a curated record. Lineage: Eukaryota; Metazoa; Mollusca; Gastropoda; Lepetellida; Haliotidae.